RNAcentral lists this unclassified non-coding RNA (288 nucleotides) under fungal sp. RNAcentral's name for it is "partial internal transcribed spacer region". The stretch from base 1 to 46 matches the Rfam family "Eukaryotic small subunit ribosomal RNA", at positions 1786 to 1831 of the family's 1831-position model. The record is from RNAcentral. Lineage: Eukaryota; Fungi.
AAGUCGUAACAAGGUUUCCGUAGGUGAACCUGCGGAAGGAUCAUUAACAAAAGAAAAUUUUUUGAAGAAAUUAUUUUUUUCAAAUCUUUUUUUGCCAUUGUGAAUUAAAGAAAUCUUUUCUUUCUUUCUCUUCUUCCCUUUUCCCACUCUUUUUUAUUAAUGAGAGAAGAAGAGGGGAGGAAGAAGGAAUUGAUUUCUUUUAUAAUAUAGGCCUUUAAUUUAUCAAGUCUUAAUUUUAAAAUUAUAAAAAAUUAUAAAUAAUUUUUGACAAUGGAUCUCUAGGCUCUU